This is a long non-coding RNA of Scylla paramamosain (green mud crab), 575 nucleotides long. RefSeq lists it as uncharacterized. The transcript has 4 exons. The record is from RefSeq and is a predicted model, not a curated record. NCBI's taxonomy places the organism in Eukaryota, Metazoa, Arthropoda, Malacostraca, Decapoda, Portunidae.
UUUAGUCAGUGACGGACCACCACGGCAGGCAGUACGCUGAUUUUUAUUACAGUGAUUUUACCAAGGUACUUGGUUACUCUUACACUAUUUCUUUACGAACUAAAUACGACCCAAGUACGCCUCAGAUACGACUUGGAGUACGACCUGGCUGACUUGUAUUAGAGUGUAUAAGGUGGUGACGUUUCAACUACAUAAGAUGGACACGCGUCAAGUCACCACUGUAUCGCUGGCCUCCUCCUGCCGUGUGUUUCGCGGCCCUGUCCUGCGCCAUGCCGUCUGCCCGCCCGUCCUGCCGCGCUCCGAAGAACUCCGCGACGACGAUGACGUGGGGCCUCUGCUGACGGAAGGUGCGGACACUCACGACAGGACGACCCACGCGGAACGACGACACGCUGAAGGGAGGCGUUGAGGCACGGAGGGAAGUGAGCAACUGACGAGAAGAAAGGAAGAAUGAGCGAUGAGGAGAAACAGAUGGAAUAGGAUGAAAAAAAAAACCCUUGAAAAAAAAAAGAAAUGCUGAAUAUGAAAUUGUACGACCAAAACAAAACAAAAAAAAAUCUAAACUUUAAAAUCCC